CCUACGGGUGGCUGCAGUGGGGAAUAUUGGACAAUGGGGGGAACCCUGAUCCAGCCAUGCCGCGUGUGUGAAGAAGGCCCUCGGGUUGUAAAGCACUUUCAGUGAGGAAGAACGCCUGGUGGUUAAUACCCAUCAGGAAAGACAUCACUCACAGAAGAAGCACCGGCUAACUCCGUGCCAGCAGCCGCGGUAAUACGGAGGGUGCGAGCGUUAAUCGGAAUCACUGGGCGUAAAGCGCGCGUAGGUGGCUUGAUAAGCCGGUUGUGAAAGCCCCGGGCUCAACCUGGGAACGGCAUCCGGAACUGUCAAGCUAGAGUGCAGGAGAGGAAGGUAGAAUUCCCGGUGUAGCGGUGAAAUGCGUAGAGAUCGGGAGGAAUACCAGUGGCGAAGGCGGCCUUCUGGACUGACACUGACACUGAGGUGCGAAAGCGUGGGUAGCAAACAGGAUUAGAUACCCGUGUAGUC
This 465-nucleotide ribosomal RNA is filed under the name Vreelandella stevensii. RNAcentral's name for it is "partial 16S ribosomal RNA". It matches the Rfam family "Bacterial small subunit ribosomal RNA", at positions 338 to 795 of the family's 1533-position model. Lineage: Bacteria; Pseudomonadati; Pseudomonadota; Gammaproteobacteria; Oceanospirillales; Halomonadaceae. The record is from RNAcentral.